UUACCAGGCCUUGACAUACUCGGCAAAGACUCUAGAGAUAGAGUGGAGGUUAUCCGGGAUACAGGUGGUGCAUGGUUGUCGUCAGCUCGUGUCGUGAGAUGUUGGUUAAGUCCGCAACGAGCGCAACCCUUGUCUUUAGUUACCAUCAUUCAGUUGGGGACUCUAGAGAGACUGCCGGUGAUAAACCGGAGAAGUGGGGAUGACGUCAAAUCAUCAUGCCCCUUAUGGCCUGGGCUACAAACGUAAUACAAUGGCGUAUACAAAGGGAUGCGAAAGGGCGACCUGGAGCAAAACUCACAAAGUACGUCUCAGUUCAGAUUGGAGUCUGCAACUCGACUCCAUGAAGGCGGAAUCGCUAGUAAUCGCGGAUCAGCAUGCCGCGGUGAAUACGUUCUCGGGGUUU
This 403-nucleotide ribosomal RNA is filed under the name uncultured Erysipelothrix sp. RNAcentral describes it as "bacterial SSU rRNA". It matches the Rfam family "Bacterial small subunit ribosomal RNA", at positions 971 to 1382 of the family's 1533-position model. Lineage: Bacteria; Bacillati; Bacillota; Erysipelotrichia; Erysipelotrichales; Erysipelotrichaceae. The record is from RNAcentral.